UUUUAUGGAGAGUUUGAUCCUGGCUCAGGAUGAACGCUGGCGGCGUGCCUAAUACAUGCAAGUCGAGCGAACAGACGAGGAGCUUGCUCCUCUGACGUUAGCGGCGGACGGGUGAGUAACACGUGGAUAACCUACCUAUAAGACUGGGAUAACUUCGGGAAACCGGAGCUAAUACCGGAUAAUAUAUUGAACCGCAUGGUUCAAUAGUGAAAGACGGUUUUGCUGUCACUUAUAGAUGGAUCCGCGCCGCAUUAGCUAGUUGGUAAGGUAACGGCUUACCAAGGCAACGAUGCGUAGCCGACCUGAGAGGGUGAUCGGCCACACUGGAACUGAGACAAGGUCCAGACUCCUACGGGAGGCAGCAGUAGGGAAUCUUCCGCAA
RNAcentral lists this ribosomal RNA (382 nucleotides) under Staphylococcus epidermidis. Its description in RNAcentral is "bacterial SSU rRNA". It matches the Rfam family "Bacterial small subunit ribosomal RNA", at positions 1 to 371 of the family's 1533-position model. The record is from RNAcentral. Lineage: Bacteria; Bacillati; Bacillota; Bacilli; Caryophanales; Staphylococcaceae.